CAGACAUCUGCUCCAGCCUAUUCUUAGAUUGCUGCUCCAAGACAUAGGAAAUGAGAGAGUAGCUCUGGGCUAUAAUUGAAGGGCUGGUCUUACAGAUGAUAAAAGCCCAAGGCCUGCCCAAACACAGCUUUCUCAGGAAUUGCCAGAACCCAGAGGCUUACAUCUUGAAAUCUCUCCAGACUGUUCCCCAAGAAUCUUUUUCUGCACCCCUUACUUGUCUCUUAUGCUGCCUCUUCAGAAAACAGAAAUCAGAAAAGAUGAGAUUGGUAACUGGUGAAGCCAGGAGAAGAUAAAAAGGAACUCAGGAAGGGAAGAGUCAUGACACCAAGGAAGAGGGAGAAGAGUCUGGAGGUUUUGCCCUCAUCUUACAUGGGAGAGAUGGCACUGAUAGACUGAAGAACCCUAGAGAUUUAUCUUUGGCUUACCAAGAAACUGUAUGUACUACAUAGUUUAGCAAAGCUAUUAGAAAUAAUUAGAGGGGCAACUGGGUGGCUCAGUGAAUUGAGAGUCAGGCCCAGAGAUGGGAGGUCCUAGGUUCAAGUCUGACCUCAGACACUUCCUAGCUGUGUGACCCUGGGCAAGUCACUUAAUCCCCAUUGCCUGAAUCUUACCACUCUUCUGCCUUAGAACCAAUACACAGUAUUGAUUCUAAGAUGGGAGGUAAAGGUUUAAAAAAAAAGGAAUAAUUAGAAGUUAGAGAGAGAAGGGGGGAAAAACCAUUCGGUUAACACUUUAGCCAGUUGAAAAUGAGGGGGGGAAAUUGGUAGAGUGACAAAAAGUGGCUAAAGGAGCCAUGUAUUUUCUCAGAUAUAUAGGGAAUUGAGCCAAAUUUAUAAAAAUAAGAGCAAUUCCCCAGUUGAUAGUCAAAGGAUACAAACAGGCAGUUUUUAGAAGAAGAAAUUAAAACUAUUGCUAGUCACAUGAAAAAAAAAUGUUCUAAAUCACUAUUGACUAGGAAAUUGAAAAUUAAAACCACUCUGCCAGAUUAAAAUAAUGCCUCACCCCUAUUAGAUUGGUUAACAUGACAAAAAAGUGGAAAAGGUCAAACUCUGGAGCGAAUAUAGAAAUAAAUGGAACACUAAUACACUGUUGGUGGAGUUG
RNAcentral lists this long non-coding RNA (1101 nucleotides) under Monodelphis domestica (gray short-tailed opossum). RNAcentral's name for it is "lncRNA (ENSMODG00000040231.1)". Lineage: Eukaryota; Metazoa; Chordata; Mammalia; Didelphimorphia; Didelphidae. The record is from RNAcentral.